UAGAGAAAAUUGCAACUUUGGGCCCAAAGGUUUGAAUAAUUAAAUUCAAACCUAUAGUUUUUUUUUUUGGGACUCACAAUCCCAUUUUUAUAUUAUUUUUCUCUCUUCCUCUCACGUUGCUCGGCGUUUUCUCGCAAGGGGGGAUUAUUUUCUUUUUUCUUCAGAUUAUAUUGACAAAGAUAGUGGUGAAAAAGGAGUUGUGAAGGGGAACUUGUUAUUCAAGACACAAGGAGCGAGUUCGACCGAGAAAGCACCAGAGGCGUAACUUUGGUGUAUGAGACACCAUCUUUUACGUUGCCUCUCAUUUUGUAUUAUGCAAUGUAAACUCUAAUCCUUUUUAUUAAAUGCAAUUAUAUGUCCAAGAGGAUUA
Long non-coding RNA from Prosopis cineraria, 370 nucleotides. RefSeq lists it as uncharacterized. The transcript has 3 exons. Lineage: Eukaryota; Viridiplantae; Streptophyta; Magnoliopsida; Fabales; Fabaceae. The record is from RefSeq and is a predicted model, not a curated record.